This 274-nucleotide ribosomal RNA is filed under the name uncultured bacterium. RNAcentral describes it as "partial 16S ribosomal RNA". It matches the Rfam family "Bacterial small subunit ribosomal RNA", at positions 28 to 290 of the family's 1533-position model. The record is from RNAcentral.
GACGAACGCCGGCGGCGUGCUUAACACAUGCAAGUCGAGCGGUAAGGCCCUUUCGGGGUACGACGAGCGGCGAACGGGUAGAGUAACACGUGGGUGACCUCGCCCUCCAGCUCUGGGAGUAAGACCUCGGGAAACCGGGUACCGUAAUAACUGGAUAUGACUCCAUGACGCAUGUUGUGGGGUGGAAAGCCUUGUGCGGCUGAGGAUGGGCCCGGCCGGCCUAUCAGCUUGUUGGUGGGGUGGAUGGCCUACCAAGGCGACGACGGGUAGCCGG